GACGAACGCUGGCGGCGUGCUUAACACAUGCAAGUCGAGCGGAAAGGCCCUGCUUUUGUGGGGUGCUCGAGUGGCGAACGGGUGAGUAACACGUGAGUAACCUGCCCUUGACUUUGGGAUAACUUCAGGAAACUGGGGCUAAUACCGGAUAGGAGCUCCUGCUGCAUGGUGGGGGUUGGAAAGUUUCGGCGGUUGGGGAUGGACUCGCGGCUUAUCAGCUUGUUGGUGGGGUAGUGGCUUACCAAGGCGUUGACGGGUAGCCGGCCUGAGAGGGUGACCGGCCACAUUGGGACUGAGAUACGGCCCAGACUCCUACGGGAGGCAGCAGUGGGGAAUAUUGCACAAUGGGCGGAAGCCUGAUGCAGCAACGCCGCGUGCGGGAUGACGGCCUUCGGGUUGUAAACCGCUUUCGCCUGUGACGAAGCGUGAGUGACGGUAAUGGGUAAAGAAGCACCGGCUAACUACGUG
This 468-nucleotide ribosomal RNA is filed under the name uncultured bacterium. RNAcentral describes it as "partial 16S ribosomal RNA". It matches the Rfam family "Bacterial small subunit ribosomal RNA", at positions 28 to 507 of the family's 1533-position model. The record is from RNAcentral.